UACUAAGAUACACCCAUGUCUGGCUAAAGGC
RNAcentral lists this non-coding RNA (31 nucleotides) under Mus musculus (house mouse). The record is from RNAcentral. Lineage: Eukaryota; Metazoa; Chordata; Mammalia; Rodentia; Muridae.